This is a long non-coding RNA of Cololabis saira (Pacific saury), 2862 nucleotides long. RefSeq lists it as uncharacterized. The transcript has 4 exons. The record is from RefSeq and is a predicted model, not a curated record. NCBI's taxonomy places the organism in Eukaryota, Metazoa, Chordata, Actinopteri, Beloniformes, Belonidae.
AACUGUCAUCCGCAUUGCUGGUGUUGAUUGGAGGGGGUCCUGGAUUGUGUUUAGAGGGGCCCUUCUUGCAUGUGUGCUGAGGAGCCCAUGAUUUCAGAUUCAACCUGUCUUUUUCAUUAUUCAAAUUGCAAGAAAUUAUUCAUAGUUAAAUUCAGAUCCCAUUAUUUUUAGAACUUUGUCUGGAAAACUCUGUAUGCAAAUGAUUGUUUACGCCAGCAGAUGGCACACCAUGUUUUAUAGUAGUUAUAAAGUAAGAGGAAUCCCCCAGCGCUGGGACACAGAGGUUUUUUUUUACUCCUGAUAGUGGAUUUUACUCAGACUGUAAUUGGCUGGAUUACCUGCCAGUAACAGAGAGAAAAAAAAGAAAACUAUAAAAGUGCCAGAAGGUCAAAAUAUGAUUAAUUUUGUUUCUCACUGUAGAUGUCUUUAUGUCACGAAAAUAAUGAUUGUGUGUUGAUUGCCCUCUAGUGGAGAAGUAACUUUUUAAAAUCUAGAUGUUCUUUUUGUUGAAAAGUGAAGGGACCUUUUUAUCCCCUAAUUUAAGUACCUUUGCUGCCCUGUAGGAGCAAAACACGAUUCACAUAUCUUGUCUUUUCCAUAUUAUCUUCUUUCCUGAAACAUCAGAACAUGUCUAGUUCACCUCCUGUAAUAUGUUGAUCAAACAUUGGAAUUUGCACAAACAUGGCAAAAUCACAUAUACACGUUUUUAGAUCCAGGUUUGGUGAAAUAUCAAAGUUACAUUUAUCCACGGUUUUUAAAUUUACUUUAUUUUAUAUAAUGGAAAAAUGGGGCUCAUUCUGACUGCUGUCUGGAAUAAAUGAGUUUUAGUAGUUUCUCUCAACUUUGGAGGAUUAUCUCACUGUUGCAAUGCUUUCAUGCUUUUCACACAUUAAGAACAGAAUCCAAGACAAACCAUAUAUAUUUCCAAAUAUAAUAAUUUAAGGCAAUUUUGAUAUAUUCUAAUAUUCCCCUUUUCUAAUAAAGACAGUUUAUUUGAAAAAUGUCUUUAUAUUUUUCAGCUUUUUUUCCCAUAGAGAGUGAGAGGAGGAAUCAAAACACAAAACUGUGACAGUUUUCUUGUUUCAACUGAAUUCCUGAUAAUUAUACUGCUGCGAAAACUGAUAUUUUGUAAAUGAAUACAUGACAAGAGUUGCUACACCUCGUAUUUUCUGCAAGGGGAAAUAAAAGAGGAACUAGGUGAAACGUUCUGUCAUUUCUAAUGUUAUUUUGUUUGAAAAUGUUGCAUAUACACUCCCACAUUUAAAAAAAUCUGAAGGAAGGAUUUAAAAAAAAAAAAAGUUCUCCAGUUGGGACCGAACACACCAAUGCUACCCACAUCUGCUUUUAUUCCUGUCGUUAGAAAUCUUCUAUUAUACAGUCCUGCUCAAUGAUAAUUCUUGUUUUUUUCCCCUUUGGUCAAGGAAAUGCUGCACUUCUCAGCUCAAUGCCCUGAGGAAACAAAACAGCUUUAAACAAAGUCGGCAACCCAAGAAAAACCCUCUGCUAGAUCCCCUGUAGUGAGCAUUUAAGGAACUUCAGGAGGCCUUUGUAUGGUGUAAUUGUUGACUCAAAGGGUCAGCACUGUGCAUAGUCAUUAGAAGGACAAAAGAACAAAAGUAGUCACAUUGGAUUGCAGCUCUUACAGCUGCACACCUUCAGCUCUCUUCUGUCAAGAUGCCAGACUCCUACGAGGCUGUGCCAGCACCAUGCCAGGCCAUCAAGGAGGACUUUGACAAGUGUGUUAAGGAGAAGGGGGGCGAGGACUGCAAAGAUCUGAUAGAUGCUUUCCAGACCUGUGUGAAAACUCUGUCGGAAGGAUCAUGAUGGAUCAAGAAAAAUUUGCAGCUUCACCUCAAAGUCUAUCACUUUCCUGCUUCUUUCCUUACACACCGCACUGGACUGGACCAAUUGAUAGCAGAAGAGGGGUGAUGGUGAUGCACUUCCAAAGCCAAUAUUUCCGUGAACAUGAGUUAUAUUGUCAGCGUACCCAUUCCAUUGUAAAAAAAAAUGAAUGACACUAAUACACUGUCAUUUUGUAUGUAAAAAGCACAAAUAAAAAGUCUGGAUAUGGUUGUUUUUUCCCUGCUAAUCACAUGUUAUGUAGCUAUUCUUUUCUGCAACUGUUUAAGCCUUUUAUCAUAGGUUUCUAUGUAAAGUAUCCACUCUUAAUAGAAUUAAGAAGAGCUUGUUAAUCUCUGCUUAAUCCUCCCAUUAGAACCUGCGCCGAGCAGUCUAAUGUUAGUUUUUGAGUCUGAGCUCCAUACGAGAACAUAAGGAUUAUGGCAUUGCACAAAGAUUAGACCUGGAAAAGUUUUAGAAAAAUAUUUUUUUCAUUAUAAAAAAUCUUCUAAAGAUAACAGCAAAUUUAUAUUUGUUUUUUCUUCUCCAGCGUUGCCUCUUUAAAAAAAAUAAAGUAAAAAAAGAUGAUUUUCACAUGCAUCUUUAAAGUUUGUACCUAUUUUAGUGUAGCAAAUCUUUAUUUAGCAUGUCCUGCACAGUAUGUCCCUCACAAUCUUUAAGAAGGCCCAUUGUAUUUCUGUGUUUUUCUUCUUCUUCUUUUUAAUUUCAAAAGUGUAAAAGCCAAACAGAAAGUAGUAGAGUGAAUAUCUCUUUCUGCUCUAUUUCUGCACUGUGGCUGGAGACAAAUCCCUCUGGUUGCGUGAAAAUCCACUAGAUAGGCACAGAUGAAGAUGAGCUUCUGGGAAUUAUCCACCCACACAUAACAUUUCAAAUGGAGUUUAAAAAAAAGAUUUUUCAGUGCAGAUGCUUUAUUUAAAUAUACCACUUUCCCUUAUUGUAAAACUGUCAUCUCUGUGUGAACCUUUUCAAUGUACAGCUUUUUUAAACAUGAUUUAUGUUGUU